This is a long non-coding RNA of Ipomoea nil (Japanese morning glory), 264 nucleotides long. RefSeq lists it as uncharacterized. The transcript has 3 exons. Lineage: Eukaryota; Viridiplantae; Streptophyta; Magnoliopsida; Solanales; Convolvulaceae. The record is from RefSeq and is a predicted model, not a curated record.
AGCUGGUUCAUUGCACUUUAUUCAAGCUGGUUCAUCUCAACAUACACAAAAUGCAACAAGCAGACAUUCAAAAAAAAUUUCAGUUGUUAAUCCAGGAAAAUCUAAUAAAUACGUAGUUGCAACAUCUAAUACUGAACGAUACAUUUCACUUGGUAAACUACAGGAAAUACAGCGUGAAAAAGCUAAGGACAAACUACAAUCUUCAAUUCGUGCAAGAGAUUCUACACCGUUUCCAACCCAAGAAAGCAUCAAUUACUCAUUGGA